This is a small nuclear RNA of Fukomys damarensis (Damara mole-rat), 107 nucleotides long. Lineage: Eukaryota; Metazoa; Chordata; Mammalia; Rodentia; Bathyergidae. The record is from Ensembl.
GUGUUUGCUUCAGCAGCACAUGUGCUAAAACUGGCAUGACACAGAGAAGAUUAACAUGGCCUCUGCACAAAGAUGACAUGCAAAUUCGUGAAGUGAAUAAACUGUCA